CCUGAGGCACAGAAAGGGGGGGGGGGGGGCGUAGCCCACGCUCAGCUGUCGGCCCACAGCACGACGUCCCUGAGCCCCCGUACCCCUGCACCCCGCCCCCGUGUCAGCCGAGAGAAGACAAUGCCCCAAAUCCAGGUAGAUACAGCGCUGGGGCUCAGACCACCACCGGUGACUCCGGGAAGGGCCCCCGAUGCCUGCCCUGCCCCUCAGGCCGAAAACCCACGUCAGCCUCCGCUGCCGUCUCCCCCUCGCUCGCUGCUCCUCCACCCACGGACAGAGUCCUCUCCCAUCGUCACCCCAGCAGCGGUGGCUCGCAGCGUGGCUGAAGCGGCCCCAAGGCUCCGGGUUCGCGUCGCGACCUUCCGGGGCGCACCCCGCACACCUCGCAUCUUCGCCCCCAACCUCCCCACGCAGACCCACGUUUCACAAAGGGACCGCGCGCUGACGCAGCUUUGUGACACAAGAUGCAACUCUUGAACAAGGAAACACCUUUGUCUCAAAAUUCCGACAGUAUCUAGGGUUCCCGGGGCCGAGAGAAGCGUGUGUGGCCCACGGCGCCACACCGACCUGGCCGGCUGCACAGCUGCCCCACCAAGGUGCCUGCCAUGAGCUGCGCUGAAGGCGCCUGGGUUUGUGAGCCUUCGACAGAGUAAGAAGUAUCGUUUAUGCGGGUGGGAAAUCAGGACAGCAAGCAAACUUUUUCUUGAGAUGGACCAGAGAACAGGUGCUCCAUAUCCUCAUUAGGCAGGAGCAGCGGCAUUCCUGUUCUUUCUAGGGCUUUCUCCGGACGCCCACGUUCAUGUUUUACAUGUGGAUGUGGCGUCAGGGCAGGUGGCAUAGCGGAUAUGGCCUAAAAUACACGCGGCUUCACCAAACACCAAGCCGCAGGAGACCAAAGCCUGUCACGGGCCAGCACCCCGGGUCCCCGGCCGAGGCCGGCACCGUUCUGGCCCCGAGUGAAAGGAGCCAAGGCCACGCACGCUGCUGGGGGGGGAGCGUGCAGGCAAGACGCCCGGAGGCAGGGAGGACAGAGAGGAGGUCCCCAUCACUACGCCCUCAUGCAUUUGCAGGCAGGAAGGCCCCAGCCGGGGAGCAGCCACGCCAAGAACGGCAGGAAGGAGACCUGGGGCUCUUGUCUUGGGGAGGAUGCCUCUAGGCAGAAGGGGGGCAGAAGACAGCAAAGAUGAAGGCAGAAAAGGAGGGAAGCGGUCGGCGGAGGCGGCAGGGCCAGCUCACGCAGCUGCUGGAGCGUCGUAAGGCGAGCCGCCUCCGAGGGACACUCCCCCCCCCCCCCCCCCCCCCCCCCCGCCACCCUGCCACUUCCGCGGGCAAGGACACAGUGAACUGACAGGGCUGGGUCAUAAAGGACUCUGUGGUUCCUGCUUUGCUUGGGCCACUCGCUCUGAGGUGUCGGCCGUCAUGCCGUGAGGGCACUCAAGCCAGCCACGGUGAGGGUCAGAUGGGGACAACCACCAACCUGCCUGCCGUCUGGCUCCCUUGAAGCACAGAGUUUUGGGAUAACCGGUCACACGGCGACAGAGGGCCGGUGCCCUAGGAGAGCAGCGGCAGGGCCUGCCUCGGGGAGCAGGACUCCGCCGAGGGGGACGUUUCGACGGAGGCGCAAGAGCAAACAGGAGGGUCAGACUCGGGACCGGAAGGGCAGCGGCAGGUGUGCGUGAAGAGGGACGCCAAGAGAGGAGUCGGGGGUCAAUGAAAACUUGUGGUGGCCGGAGCGUGCACCGGGCCGGUUCUGAGACCGGGAACGGGGGGGCGGGGCGCAGAGUCUCUGGAGGGGGGCCUGGGCCCUGCGGGGCGGGCAGCUCCGCGCAGGCCAGUGAACGUCCGCGGGGCCCGUUCGCGCAGUCGGCCCAAGGCCUGAACCUGGACUUGAGGAAGGGCUCUGGGCUGGAGCUAUCUGGGGCUGCUGUCCCAGGAUCUCCCCAUAGUAUAGACCUUCUGAAUCAAUUUCCAAUUUCUUCGUAACAUGCGAUCAUGCCACGGUUAUCUGUGUUUGUAAACGACCCGAGAGCCCCCCACCCCUGUCCCGUUCCCUGUGCUCAGGACGGUUCACGUGUGUCAUCUGUGGUGCUUGAAAACGACAAGGGUUAAAAGGAGCAGAAAUGUGAUUAUUGGAGGAAAAAAAGGAAGUAAGAGACAGUUU
This is a long non-coding RNA of Felis catus (domestic cat), 2161 nucleotides long. RefSeq lists it as uncharacterized. Lineage: Eukaryota; Metazoa; Chordata; Mammalia; Carnivora; Felidae. The transcript has 2 exons. The record is from RefSeq and is a predicted model, not a curated record.